GUUCAAAUGGACCCUAGUAAAGUUCAGACGCCUUCAGAAUGGUCCAAACCAUCUACAGUCAAACAGGUCUGGACCGUUACCUCAGCCGGUGCGACAAUGCAUGUUCCAGGCCACCGAGAAUGGUGGAUUUCCUGUCGAAACUUGACCAAAAGCACGGCAACAUUAACCUCCCUGCUUACCUUCAUCCUUGUCUGGGAAAGAGGACUAUCAUCUUGGCUGACACUGGAAAGGAGCAGCAUUCGUUUAGUAAAUUGGUAUUGCUUCCCC
Molecule: long non-coding RNA, 267 nt
Organism: Mobula hypostoma (lesser devil ray)
Lineage: Eukaryota; Metazoa; Chordata; Chondrichthyes; Myliobatiformes; Myliobatidae
Exons: 3
Source: RefSeq, a predicted model, not a curated record